AUUGAAAGCUGGCGGCAGGCUUAACAAAUGCAAGUCGAACGAGCGGAGGACGGGUGAGUAAUGUCUGGGAAACUGCCUGCUGGAGGGGGAUAACUACUGGAAACGGUAGCUACUACCGCAUACCAUCAGAUGUGCCCAGAUGGGAUUAGCCAGUAGGUGGGGUAAUGGCUCACCUAGGCGAAGAUCCCUAGCUGGUCUGAGAGGAGUACCAGCCACACUGGAACUGAGACACGUUCCAGACUCCUACGGGCGGCAGCAGUGGGGAAUAUUGCACAAUGGGCGCAAGCCUGAUGCAGCCAUGCCGCGUGUGUGAAGAAGGCCUUCGGGUUGUAAAGUACUUUCAGCGAGGAGGCGUUACUCGCAGAAGAAGCACCGGCUAACUCCGUGCCAGCAGCCGCGGUAAUUC
RNAcentral lists this ribosomal RNA (406 nucleotides) under uncultured bacterium. RNAcentral's name for it is "partial 16S ribosomal RNA". It matches the Rfam family "Bacterial small subunit ribosomal RNA", at positions 30 to 526 of the family's 1533-position model. The record is from RNAcentral.